RNAcentral lists this ribosomal RNA (217 nucleotides) under uncultured bacterium. RNAcentral's name for it is "partial 16S ribosomal RNA". It matches the Rfam family "Bacterial small subunit ribosomal RNA", at positions 133 to 334 of the family's 1533-position model. The record is from RNAcentral.
CCAGAGGGGGACAACAGUUGGAAACGACUGCUAAUACCGCAUACGAUCUAAUCUCGGCAUCGAGGAUAGAUGAAAGGUGGCCUCUACAUGUAAGCUAUCAAUGAAGGAGGGGAUUGCGUCUGAUUAGCUAGUUGGAGGGGUAACGGCCCACCAAGGCGAUGAUCAGUAGCCGGUCUGAGAGGAUGAACGGCCACAUUGGGACUGAGACACGGCCCAG